Molecule: transfer RNA, 72 nt
Filed under: Yoda sp. d ASH-2021
Lineage: Eukaryota; Metazoa; Hemichordata; Enteropneusta; Torquaratoridae
Description: tRNA-Val
Source: RNAcentral
GAAAUGUCGCCAAACAGUUAAGGUUUUUUACUUACACUAAAACAAUUGCCCGUGCAAAUCGAGCCAUUUCGA